RNAcentral lists this transfer RNA (67 nucleotides) under Lissemys punctata (Indian flap-shelled turtle). RNAcentral describes it as "tRNA-Cys". Lineage: Eukaryota; Metazoa; Chordata; Testudines; Trionychidae. The record is from RNAcentral.
AGGCCUCAUAGUGAAGUUCACAUCAAAUUGCAAAUUUGGAAAUAUACUUAGUUAGUAUUUUGGCCUU